This 466-nucleotide ribosomal RNA is filed under the name uncultured bacterium. RNAcentral's name for it is "partial 16S ribosomal RNA". It matches the Rfam family "Bacterial small subunit ribosomal RNA", at positions 28 to 507 of the family's 1533-position model. The record is from RNAcentral.
GACGAACGCUGGCGGUGUACUUAACACAUGCAAGUCGAACGGUAAGGCCCUUUCGGGGGUACACGAGUGGCGAACGGGUGAGUAACACGUGAGUAACCUGCCCUCAUCUCUGGGAUAACAGUCGGAAACGGUUGCUAAUACUGGAUAUGAGCUUGCAAGGCAUCUUGUGGGUUGGAAAGAUUUUUUUGGUUGGGGAUGGACUCGCGGCCUAUCAGCUUGUUGGUGAGGUAGUGGCUCACCAAGGCUUCGACGGGUAGCCGGCCUGAGAGGGCGACCGGCCACAUUGGGACUGAGAUACGGCCCAAACUCCUACGGGAGGCAGCAGUGGGGAAUAUUGCACAAUGGACGGAAGUCUGAUGCAGCAACGCCGCGUGCGGGAUGACGGCCUUCGGGUUGUAAACCGCUUUCAAUUGUGACGAAGCUUUUUGUGACGGUAGCAGUAGAAGAAGCACCGGCUAACUACGUG